AAAAGUUGUCAACAAAGAAAAAUCCCAAGCCAAACAGCUCUCACAAGUUACUAAGACAACACUCCUCUGCAGUAAUUUGCAAAUAUCAUAAAAGGUUCUCAUUUUGUUGCUGGCAAGACAUGAGGCGAAUAGGACAAAACAAAGUCAUCAUCUCAAUUGGCGGUAUCAUAGCCCUCCCAAAAGAUCUCAGUCUGCAAAUGAAAAUAUGCAAUCAAAUAGUGCACCAAAGCAUCAGGUCGUUGCUACAAAAUUCAAAUAAGAAGAAAAAAUCAUCAAGAGACCAGAAGGGAGUAGAGAAUUCAAAAUUGUCUUUGGACCCAAAGAUACAGCUAAACCUUCAAGGAAAUUAUGAAAAUAAAAUCACAUACAAAAAGAAAAAGCAGAUAUCCCAAAAGAGAAAAGAGUUUAUUUUCCUCGACACCAAAAAAAAGGUGCACGACAAACAGCCUCCGUCCAGAAUCGCCAGGCCGCAAAUUAUUACUUCAAGCAAAAAGCAAAAGGAAAAUAUGGCUCGUCAAUUUCAGGCCAAGAAGCCUCCAUCUCCUGCCGUGCCCAAGAUGGAAGAAGAAAGCAACCAAAAAAAAAAGGGGGUUUGGAAGACCAGGAAGAAACCAGCAAAAGCAAGGAAGAAAAGCCAAACAAAGACAAAGAGAAGAAAAAGUAGCUCUGUACUUUGACAAACAAACGCUGCCUCUUUAAGUUCCCAUACUUUCAAUUAAUAGUUUAAUCGGUCAUAUAGUCUAACUCUGACAUAAAGGAGCAAAGGAAAGACUAACCUUGUUUUGACUUCUCUUUGGUUUUGGC
RNAcentral lists this long non-coding RNA (804 nucleotides) under Prunus persica (peach). Its description in RNAcentral is "long non-coding RNA (PPER_LNC003525)". Lineage: Eukaryota; Viridiplantae; Streptophyta; Magnoliopsida; Rosales; Rosaceae. The record is from RNAcentral.